GACGAACGCUGGCGGCGUGCUUAACACAUGCAAGUCGAACGGAAAGGCCCUGCUUUUGUGGGGUGCUCGAGUGGCGAACGGGUGAGUAACACGUGAGUAACCUGCCCUUGACUUUGGGAUAACUUCAGGAAACUGGGGCUAAUACCGGAUAGGAGCUCCUGCUGCAUGGGGGGGGUUGGAAAGUUUCGGCGGUUGGGGAUGGACUCGCGGCUUAUCAGCUUGUUGGUGGGGUAGUGGCUUACCAAGGCUUUGACGGGUAGCCGGCCUGAGAGGGUGACCGGCCACAUUGGGACUGAGAUACGGCCCAGACUCCUACGGGAGGCAGCAGUGGGGAAUAUUGCACCAUGGGCGGAAGCCUGAUGCAGCAACGCCGCGUGCGGGAUGACGGCCUUCGGGUUGUAAACCGCUUUCGCCUGUGACGAAGCGUGAGUGACGGUAAUGGGUAAAGAAGCACCGGCUAACUACGUG
RNAcentral lists this ribosomal RNA (468 nucleotides) under uncultured bacterium. Its description in RNAcentral is "partial 16S ribosomal RNA". It matches the Rfam family "Bacterial small subunit ribosomal RNA", at positions 28 to 507 of the family's 1533-position model. The record is from RNAcentral.